RNAcentral lists this ribosomal RNA (253 nucleotides) under uncultured bacterium. RNAcentral describes it as "partial 16S ribosomal RNA". It matches the Rfam family "Bacterial small subunit ribosomal RNA", at positions 524 to 776 of the family's 1533-position model. The record is from RNAcentral.
UACGUAGGGUGCAAGCGUUAAUCGGAAUUACUGGGCGUAAAGCGUGCGCAGGCGGUUAUGGAAGACAGAGGUGAAAUCCCCGGGCUCAACCUGGGAACUGCCUUUGUGACUGCAUGGCCAGAGUACGGUAGAGGGGGAUGGAAUUACGCGUGUAGCAGUGAAAUGCGUAGAUAUGCGGAGGAACACCGAUGGCGAAGGCAAUCCCCUGGACCUGUACUGACGCUCAUGCACGAAAGCGUGGGGAGCAAACAGG